UAGGAACAUCCCGAAAAAUCCUACAAGAUAAUUAUCAAUCACUUCAAAAGAACACUUAAAACUACCUCAAAACUUAACAUGUAAGUUUAAAAUUAAAGUGGUUGCAUGCAGGCAUCAACUAUCAGCAGGCAAAAACAUAAGACCCUUAUAAUGAAACGAGUAGAAAGCCAAAAAGAAAAAUUCAAAUCAACUGAAAUUAAAUAAAAAAUUAGUCCAAAGAGCAAAAGUUCAAAAAAGGGCAAAAAUAUGCACAUGAACAACAAGCAGAUCCAAAAAUGAUGAGAAUCAGAAAUCUUGAUAUAAGAAAAGAAAAGCAGGACAGAGAAUGCAUUUUCAAUGAAAUAUUUGAAAUUGUAGAAAUAUCUCGAAGCAACAAUGAUCAAGGUAAAUAAGAACAUGAAAGCCAGUAAACGGAUAAGGAGAAAGUUUGAAGUUUAAGUUACUUAGAAUACCAUAACAUUGACAAAGAAAGAUGCAAAACCGGUGAUUGCAUCACACCAGCAAGGAUAAGAAAGAGAAGAGCAGAGGGAAGACAACGAGUAUGCAAGGCAGCAAGCAAGAAUUGGAACAAAAUAUAAGAUCAACCUGACCACUUACCACUCACCACAGUACUAAAGCAACAAUCAAAGAGCA
Molecule: unclassified non-coding RNA, 633 nt
Filed under: Hevea brasiliensis (rubber tree)
Lineage: Eukaryota; Viridiplantae; Streptophyta; Magnoliopsida; Malpighiales; Euphorbiaceae
Source: RNAcentral